AGUGAACGCUGGCGGUAGGCCUAACACAUGCAAGUCGAACGGCAGCACAGUAAGAGCUUGCUCUUACGGGUGGCGAGUGGCGGACGGGUGAGGAAUACAUCGGAAUCUACUUUUUCGUGGGGGAUAACGUAGGGAAACUUACGCUAAUACCGCAUACGACCUACGGGUGAAAGCAGGGGAUCUUCGGACCUUGCGCGACUGAAUGAGCCGAUGUCGGAUUAGCUAGUUGGCGGGGUAAAGGCCCACCAAGGCGACGAUCCGUAGCUGGUCUGAGAGGAUGAUCAGCCACACUGGAACUGAGACACGGUCCAGACUCCUACGGGAGGCAGCAGUGGGGCAUAUUGGACAAUGGGCGCAAGCCUGAUCCAGCCAUACCGCGUGGGUGAAGAAGGCCUUCGGGUUGUAAAGCCCUUUUGUUGGGAAAGAAAAGCAGCAGGUUAAUACCCCGCUGUUCUGACGGUACCCAAAGAAUAAGCACCGGCUAACUUCGUG
RNAcentral lists this ribosomal RNA (492 nucleotides) under uncultured bacterium. Its description in RNAcentral is "partial 16S ribosomal RNA". It matches the Rfam family "Bacterial small subunit ribosomal RNA", at positions 29 to 507 of the family's 1533-position model. The record is from RNAcentral.